Molecule: ribosomal RNA, 383 nt
Filed under: Salmonella enterica subsp. salamae
Lineage: Bacteria; Pseudomonadati; Pseudomonadota; Gammaproteobacteria; Enterobacterales; Enterobacteriaceae
Description: partial 23S ribosomal RNA
Rfam family: Bacterial large subunit ribosomal RNA
Source: RNAcentral
AUAGGUUAAUGAGGCGAACCGGGGGAACUGAAACAUCUAAGUACCCCGAGGAAAAGAAAUCAACCGAGAUUCCCCCAGUAGCGGCGAGCGAACGGGGAGGAGCCCAGAGCCUGAAUCAGCAUGUGUGUUAGUGGAAGCGUCUGGAAAGGCGCGCGAUACAGGGUGACAGCCCCGUACACAAAAGCGCAUAUGCUGUGAGCUCGAUGAGUAGGGCGGGACACGUGGUAUCCUGUCUGAAUAUGGGGGGACCAUCCUCCAAGGCUAAAUACUCCUGACUGACCGAUAGUGAACCAGUACCGUGAGGGAAAGGCGAAAAGAACCCCGGCGAGGGGAGUGAAACAGAACCUGAAACCGUGUACGUACAAGCAGUGGGAGCACAGGUU